RNAcentral lists this ribosomal RNA (251 nucleotides) under uncultured prokaryote. Its description in RNAcentral is "partial 16S ribosomal RNA". It matches the Rfam family "Bacterial small subunit ribosomal RNA", at positions 525 to 775 of the family's 1533-position model. The record is from RNAcentral.
ACGUAGGUGGCAAGCGUUAUCCGGAAUUAUUGGGCGUAAAGCGCGCGUAGGCUUUUUCUUCCUUCUUCUUUUCCCUCCCCCUUCUCCCCCUUGGAUUUUCAUUGGAAACUGGAAAACUUGAGUGCAGAAGAGGAAAGUGGAAUUCCAUGUGUAGCGGUGAAAUGCGCAGAGAUAUGGAGGAACACCAGUGGCGAAGGCGACUUUCUGGUCUGUAACUGACGCUGAUGUGCGAAAGCGUGGGGAUCAAACAG